AACGCACAUUGCACCCGGUGGUAUUCCGCCGGGUAUGCCUGUUCGAGCGUCAUUUCAACCCUCAGGCCCUCCCUCUUGACAGUUGGAGGGCUUGGUGUUGGGGAUCUACGGGGUCCGCCUUUUUGGUGGCACGUAGUCCCUUAAAUGAAUCGGCGUACGCGCUGUACGUUGCCCCCUACGUAGUAGUUAUUUUCUCGUAUCGGGUCGUAGCGCUGUCCAGCCGCUAAACUGCAAAUAUGCAUUUUAGCUAGGUUUGACCUCGAAUCAGGUAGGGUUACCCGCUGAACUUAA
This 291-nucleotide unclassified non-coding RNA is filed under the name uncultured Microascales. Its description in RNAcentral is "sequence contains 5.8S rRNA gene, ITS2, 28S rRNA gene". The record is from RNAcentral. Lineage: Eukaryota; Fungi; Ascomycota; Sordariomycetes; Microascales.